This 301-nucleotide ribosomal RNA is filed under the name uncultured bacterium. RNAcentral's name for it is "partial 16S ribosomal RNA". It matches the Rfam family "Bacterial small subunit ribosomal RNA", at positions 509 to 807 of the family's 1533-position model. The record is from RNAcentral.
CAGCCGCCGCGGUAAUACGUAGGUGGCAAGCGUUAUCCGGAAUUAUUGGGCGUAAAGGGCUCGCAGGCGGUUUCUUAAGUCUGAUGCGAAAGCCCCCGGCUCAACCGGGGAGGGUCAUUGGAAACUGGGAAACUUGAGUGCAGAAGAGGAGAGUGGAAUUCCACGUGUAGCGGUGAAAUGCGUAGAGAUGUGGAGGAACACCAGUGGCGAAGGCGACUCUCUGGUCUGUAACUGACGCCGAGGAGCGAAAGCGUGGGGAGCGAACAGGAUUAGAGACCCGUGUAGUCCCUGUCUCUUAUAC